CCCUGGCUAGCUCAGUUGGUAGAGUGCUCCACCAGUAAUAGAGAGGUCCUGGGUUUGAUACCCGAACCAGGCG
Molecule: transfer RNA, 73 nt
Filed under: Ixodes scapularis (black-legged tick)
Lineage: Eukaryota; Metazoa; Arthropoda; Arachnida; Ixodida; Ixodidae
Description: tRNA-Thr
Source: RNAcentral